This 344-nucleotide ribosomal RNA is filed under the name uncultured bacterium. Its description in RNAcentral is "bacterial SSU rRNA". It matches the Rfam family "Bacterial small subunit ribosomal RNA", at positions 1 to 334 of the family's 1533-position model. The record is from RNAcentral.
CUAGCGACUUCAGAGUUUGAUCCUGGCUCAGGAUGAACGCUGGCGGCGUGCAUAACACAUUCAAGUCGAACGAAUCAUUGAGGUGCUUGCACUGAGAUGGUUAGUGGCGGACGGGUGAGUAAUGCAUGAGCAACCUGCCUCGAAGAGUGGAAUAACACAUGGAAACGUGUGCUAAUACCGCAUAAUGUGUACGGAGGGCAUCCUCUGUACAAGAAAGGGGAAACCCGCUUUGAGAUGGGCUCAUGUCUGAUUAGGUAGUUGGUGAGGUAACGGCUCACCAAGCCUGCGAUCAGUAGCCGGACUGAGAGGUUGAACGGCCACAUUGGGACUGAGAUACGGCCCAG